Molecule: ribosomal RNA, 612 nt
Filed under: Paragus caligneus
Lineage: Eukaryota; Metazoa; Arthropoda; Insecta; Diptera; Syrphidae
Description: eukaryotic LSU rRNA
Rfam family: Eukaryotic large subunit ribosomal RNA
Source: RNAcentral
AAGAGUACGUGAAACUGCUUAGAGGUUAAACCCGAUGAACCUGAAUAUCCGUUAUGGAAAAUUCAUCAUUAGUAAUAUAGUAUAUUAAAAAAUAUUAUAUAAAUAGUGUGCAAUUUUUCCAUAUAAGGACAUUGUAAUCUGUUAAUGUAAUAUAUAUUUUUAUCAAAAGAUCCUUAACACAAGUUUAUUUGAAUUGAUUAUUUUUACGGAUUUUUAACAUAAAAUAAAUCUUUUGGAUUUGAUAAAUCAUUGACAGAUAUAAUUAUAUAAUGUGCUCAAAUUCUAAGGAAUUUUAUCAAUGGUAAAUAAAUCUUUUGAUUUGUUUAUUUAAUUGUAUGCGCUAUUAUGAUUAACAAUGCGAUAGAUUCAGGAUACCUUCGGGACCCGUCUUGAAACACGGACCAAGGAGUCUAACAUAUGUGCAAGUCAUUGGGUAUUUUUAAUAAAACCCAAUGGCAAAAUUAACUUAACUGUUACAAUGGGAUUAGUAUAUUAAUUUAUUAAAAUAAAUAUAUUCAAUCCUAGGGCGUUCUAUAUAGUUAUGUAUAAUAAUAUUUAUAUUAUUUAUACCUCUAACUAGAGCGUACCUUGAGCAUUUAUGCUGUGACCCGA